UUCUGGGUGACAAAGAAAAAGAUUGGCUUCAGAGUGAAGAGAGGAACUUCAGUGUUACUCUUCGAAAAGGCAAAUGGUCUAAAUACAAGCCAGUGUGUGUUACCAAUGACUCAAACUAUAUCAUACUGGAGUUGCCGACCAAAGUCUGCAAGUGGUUUUAUUCCAGACCCCUUCGCCUUUCAAUGCAGAUGUGGCCUAUAACUGUUAAUGAAAGAAAUGGGUUGAGUACUUCACAGCGGAGUUGCACCAAAGCCCAAGGGACUGCCCAGUGCCAGGAGUCCUUACCACAGAAAUUACUAUUUGGCUGGGAUGAAAAGCGUUACACACGCAUUCCGCCCAUCGUUCUCGUGGUACUAAAAAAUAGAAGAUCUACCAAAAAGA
Molecule: long non-coding RNA, 381 nt
Organism: Carcharodon carcharias (great white shark)
Lineage: Eukaryota; Metazoa; Chordata; Chondrichthyes; Lamniformes; Lamnidae
Exons: 3
Source: RefSeq, a predicted model, not a curated record